RNAcentral lists this ribosomal RNA (253 nucleotides) under uncultured bacterium. Its description in RNAcentral is "partial 16S ribosomal RNA". It matches the Rfam family "Bacterial small subunit ribosomal RNA", at positions 524 to 776 of the family's 1533-position model. The record is from RNAcentral.
UACGUAGGGUGCAAGCGUUGUCCGGAAUUAUUGGGCGUAAAGAGCUCGUAGGCGGUUUGUCGCGUCUGCUGUGAAAACCUGAGGCUCAACCUCGGGCUUGCAGUGGGUACGGGCAGACUAGAGUGCGGUAGGGGUGACUGGAAUUCCUGGUGUAGCGGUGGAAUGCGCAGAUAUCAGGAGGAACAACGAUGGCGAAGGCAGGUCUCUGGGCAUUAACUGACGCUGAGGAGCGAAAGCGUGGGGAGCGAACAGG